This 332-nucleotide unclassified non-coding RNA is filed under the name soil metagenome. RNAcentral's name for it is "partial contains 5.8S ribosomal RNA, internal transcribed spacer 2, and large subunit ribosomal RNA". The stretch from base 1 to 120 matches the Rfam family "5.8S ribosomal RNA", at positions 35 to 154 of the family's 154-position model. The record is from RNAcentral.
GAUGAAGAACGCAGCGAAAUGCGAUAAGUAGUGUGAAUUGCAGAAUUCAGUGAAUCAUCGAAUCUUUGAACGCACAUUGCGCCCUUUGGUAUUCCUUAGGGCAUGCCUGUUCGAGCGUCAUUUAAACCUUCAAGCUAAGCUUGGUGUUGGGUCACUGUCCGCUUCACGGCGGACUCGCCUCAAAAUUAUUGGCGGCCGGUACAUUGGCUUCGAGCGCAGCAGAAACGCGAACUCGGGCCCGUCGUAUUGGCUCCCAGAAGCUAUCUUCACAAUUUUGACCUCGGAUCAGGUAGGGAUACCCGCUGAACUUAAGCAUAUCAAUAAGCGGAGGA